GUCCACGCCGUAAACGAUGUCGACUUGGAGGUUGUUCCCUUGAGGAGUGGCUUCCGGAGCUAACGCGUUAAGUCGACCGCCUGGGGGAGUACGGCCGCAAGGUUAAAACUCAAAUGAAUUGACGGGGGCCCGCACAAGCGGUGGAGCAUGUGGUUUAAUUCGAUGCAACGCGAAGAACCUUACCUACUCUUGACAUCCACGGAAUUUGGCAGAGAUGCCUUAGUGCCUUCGGGAACCGUGAGACAGGUGCUGCAUGGCUGUCGU
This 264-nucleotide ribosomal RNA is filed under the name uncultured bacterium. Its description in RNAcentral is "partial 16S ribosomal RNA". It matches the Rfam family "Bacterial small subunit ribosomal RNA", at positions 793 to 1055 of the family's 1533-position model. The record is from RNAcentral.